This is a long non-coding RNA of Brassica napus (rape), 3293 nucleotides long. RefSeq lists it as uncharacterized. NCBI's taxonomy places the organism in Eukaryota, Viridiplantae, Streptophyta, Magnoliopsida, Brassicales, Brassicaceae. The record is from RefSeq and is a predicted model, not a curated record. The transcript is spliced from 2 exons.
UUUUUUUAAUGUAAAACUAAAUGUGAGUUUUACUUUCAUCCAAAGUUGUUAAAUAUUUGUCUUUAAUUCUUAAAUUCUAACUCAGUGUAGGUAAUUAUUAAAGUCUUAAAGUAGUUGAAAUAAUUUUGUAUUAGUUAUGAUUUUCGAAAUAGUACCCCAAAACAGUUAUCUAACAUAUUUUUCUUAGUUUUGAAAACAAAACUUAUCAUUUUCUUGUAGUAGAAGGAAGUAUCCGGUUUUCAAAGUUGUAGUGGUGACAUGUGAUUGUUUCUAGUAUUCUCCUAUAAUUUUCCACGUUACAUUCACGUGUAGUUUAUCCAAUAUGGACCGACCAACCUUGGAAUUUACCAUGCAUAAUAUUAUUAUAUAGUUAAAUAGUUUUGUCAUACAUACCUUCGGUUGCUAUAUAUGCUGAGAUGUGUUUAUGUCAUCAACAUUAUGAAAUUACUCUAGUACUACGCAAAUGUAACGAUCUUUUAAGUUAUCACCCGUGAGACAUCGUGUCAUAAGGUUGUUGUACAUGUGCAAUGAUGCUAGUAGAGACUAUCAUCGGGUGUAGGUCGAUGUUCUUAUUGACUUGAGUGUCGGUUGUAGCAUCCAUUAGAAUCGAGUUUGUUUGCAUUAGGUAACCGUGCAAUAAUGUCAACCUGAAUUUACUUGAGGAGGCUUUGAAGCUUUUAGAAGGGAUGUUGUUGGACCAUGUUGAUCUAUGCUGUUUUGUUUGCCGACUCAAUAUGAGCUGCAUUUCAGUAUUUAUAGAUGAGUUGUGAGAUGGUUGGAACGCUUCAUCAAUUGUAUAGUAAAUGUGAUGUUUUGUAAAGAUUUUUUUUUAUUAAAGUAUAAAUUUUUUUCGAAAGCCCUUUAGCAAAAGGAAAAUUUAUUUUAGAUUUCACUGAAGGCGUCAUAGUAAUUUGUAGGUGUCCUUUUGUGAAAAUGCAAUUGAAGACAUAAACAUUACCGGGAAAUUGGUAGAGAUUGAGUGGAUCAGCCAUUGUUGAUAUCUGUUAAGGCUUACAAUGACUCUGGUACCAUAUGAAUGUUUAGAAAAAAGACAAUACUUUUAGUUCUGAAUAAUACUUUCUUGGUAAUUUACAAUGAGCUAUUACAAUGUGUAUAUAUAUAUACCCACGACUUAGAAGUAUCUAGUUUGAUUCCUAAUCUUAUCCUUAAGCUCUAGCUGUAAAGUAGAUUUGGCCUUCAUUGACAGACUGUAAUAUAGUAAAUUUGUUACUAAAAGCAGUCUGGUUUUAUUUGUCUCUUACGUUCAUCUUUGCAGGUACAAAAGGCUGGAGCUCUCUUGUGUUUAUGUGUGGAGUUGUAGUGGACUUCAUGUUGUGUUGGGCGUUAUUAAAGUUGGGUCACUUACGCUCCUAUUGUAAUUAUGUUUUUUUUUUUCAUAACAACUGGGGUCUACACUGUUUAACCAUGUGCAUUAUUUGAUUGGGGUCUUCUUAUUAUGUGAUGAUUUAGUCAUUAUGUAGACGUGCUUAACAAUUAAGCUCAUGUGUCUAGUGGUCGGUAUUUUACAUGAACAUUUGAUGCUCUUAUGGAAACUAUUUGCAAUUAAAUAAAAUGUCCUAAAUUUUCGCUUUAGGAGGCUUCGUCUCUUUCACACAUUGGUAAACCCGUUAGCUACAUGUGUCUUCUCUAAAUUAUUAAUCGUUAUCUUUGAUUUAACGAUCUGCGUUUUAAUGUUGUGGGUGUGAGACUUCAUUUUUUUAUGUAAAAGGUUUGUCCAAGUUUGAGCUUUUGAUUGCCCGUAAAAAAAAAAGUUUGAGCUUUUGAUUGCCCGUAAAAAAAAUAACCAAUUCUUGAAAUUUUAAAUGUUUGGGUUACAUGGUGCUCGUCGGAAUCAAAUACCGAUGCUUGCUUAGUGGACCUCACCUACGAUUGUAGACAUUGUUAAGGCCCGAUUCUAAAGCCUCUCCUUCUUCUUUUCUCAAGAAUCGGUUUUCACAAAUCCUCUUUCGCUCCUAAUAUCUCUUAUCUCUUCUCUAUGAGAUGUUUCCUUCUCUAUCUUCUCGCUUUUUAAUAAACUUUCCAUCUCAUUCUUUUCUUGUAAUCCCUGUUUAGUUGCUGAGGAAGCGAAAGAUAUUUUUCUUCACUUUUAUUACCGAUUUUAUUUUUUUCUUUUUGUUGUGUUUCUCUCUGUGACCAGAUUCCGGUUCGUGUCAUGUUCUUUCUUUUAGAUUCUGCAGAUUCAUUAUCUCUUUAAAUCAAUUGCCUUUUUCUAGAUUUUUGAUUUAAAAAAUCAAACUUCCUUUCAAGAUCUGUGGCGGAAAAACAUUUAUGUCAGACGCCGGAAGGCCACUGUCUCUGUUCUAACAGCUGCGGCUUCCUCGACAGGUCCACCACCAUGAAUCUUUGCUCCAACUGCUACGACGAUCUCUGUCUCAAGAAACAAAUUGCAUGUAAUCCACCAUCAAAUCCUAUAUCUCCGCAUUUCCCCUCCGUCAUUGGAGAUUGUUUCAGUUUCUUCUCUGAUGAUCUAACCUCUUUUCCAAACCAAUCUGCUGAUUUGAGAUAACGACGAAGGACGUACCGAAUAUGAUGACUCAGACGACAAAACAGCCGUAGAAGCUGACUGAAUCACUCCACGACGUUCAGGAAACGGGUCGGGUUGACGGGAUUCAGGUGCCAAUCCAGGAUGACUUGUUGUGGUCCCAUAGAUAGCCGGAAGUCCAUUUCGUUUCAAAUCGCCGGUGCGAAUCACCGACUGGUAGAUGGAUAAGAUUCAUUGAAUUCAAGAUCGUGGUGGUGAGGAAGAGUUAAGUUUGGGUUAAUGAUGCUGAAUAAUGAGACUUGUAACGCUUCGGAGGUGAAGAAUCGAAUCUAAAUCGUCAUGAACAGAGUCCGAUGGAAAGAUUACUGACGAAUCGUUGGGUCACACGCUAUUUCAGAUCCGCCAUUGUUUGAAGACAGAAGCGGAUAUUCAUAGAACCUGAUGAACCCUAAAGCUGUGAGGAAUGCAGAAGAAAAUGGCGAUAUGGUCCUCUCUUUUGUCUAGUUUGGGCUCUCAGGUUCUAUAAGCUAAUAUUCGGGACAUGCCCAUUAGCAAAACGUAUCAAUCGUUUAAGUUAGUAUGCCACGUGUCAGACUCUCUUCUCUCUAUUUGAUGACGUGUAUCUCUAAAAAGAGAGACAAAGUCUACUUUAUAGUAUUAGAUCUCUCACUCUGCUUACAAUGUUCAACUCGCAAAGGCCUGUAAGGCCGAGUGUUUGUACAAUAUUAAAGGCCUAAUAUGCUCGUCUGAACACUCUUCUUUAUAAGACAAUUGAUUGUUUGGUCCUAAA